GAUGAACGCUGGCGGCGUGCCUAAUACAUGCAAGUCGAGCGAACGGACGCGAAGCUUGCUUCUCUGAUGUUAGCGGCGGACGGGUGAGUAACACGUGGAUAACCUACCUAUAAGACUGGGAUAACUUCGGGAAACCGGCGCUAAUACCGGAUAAUAUUUUGAACCGCAUGGUGCAAAAGUGAAAUACGGUCUUGCUGUCACUUAUAGAUGGAUCCGCGCUGCAUGAGCUAGUUGGUAAGGUAAAGGCUUACCAAGGCAACGAUGCAUAGCCGACCUGAGAGGGUGAUAGGCCACACUGGAGCGGAGACACGGUCCAGACUCCUACGGGAGGCAGCAGUAGGGAAUCUUCCGCAAUGGGCGAAAGCCUGACGCAGCAACGCGGCGUCAGUGAUGAAGGUCUUCGGAUCGUAAUACUGUGUUAUUAGUUAAGAACAGAUGUGUAAGGAACUGAGCACAUCUUGACGGUAACGAGUCAGAAAGCCCCGGCUAACUACGUG
This 497-nucleotide ribosomal RNA is filed under the name uncultured bacterium. RNAcentral's name for it is "partial 16S ribosomal RNA". It matches the Rfam family "Bacterial small subunit ribosomal RNA", at positions 28 to 507 of the family's 1533-position model. The record is from RNAcentral.